CCCUUAGAGUUUGAUCCUGGCUCAGAACGAACGCUGGCGGCAGGCCUAACACAUGCAAGUCGAGCGAAGCCUUCGGGUUUAGCGGCGGACGGGUGAGUAACGCGUGGGAAUAUGCCCUUUGGUACGGAACAGUCCCGGGAAACUGGGUUUAAUACCGUAUGUGGUCCUUCGUAGUGGAUACGGGGGACGAAAGAUUUAUCGCCAAAGGAUUAGCCCGCGUUGGAUUAGGUAGUUGGUGGGGUAACGGCCUACCAAGCCGACGAUCCAUAGCUGGUUUGAGAGGAUGAUCAGCCACACUGGGACUGAGACACGGCCCAGACUCCUACGGGAGGCAGCAGUGGGGAAUCUUAGACAAUGGGGGCAACCCUGAUCUAGCCAUGCCGCGUGAGUGAUGAAGGCCUUAGGGUUGUAAAGCUCUUUCAGCUGGGAAGAUAAUGACGGUACCAGCAGAAGAAGCCCCGGCUAACUCCGUGCCAGCAGCCGCGGUAAUACGGAGGGGGCUAGCGUUGUUCGGAAUUACUGGGCGUAAAGCGCAUGUAGGCGGACCAGAAAGUUGGGGGUGAAAUCCCGGGGCUCAACCCCGGAACGGCCUUCAAAACUAUUGGUCUGGAGUUCGAGAGAGGUGAGUGGAAUUCCGAGUGUAGAGGUGAAAUUCGUAGAUAUUCGGAGGAACACCAGUGGCGAAGGCGGCUCACUGGCUCGAUA
RNAcentral lists this ribosomal RNA (705 nucleotides) under uncultured bacterium. RNAcentral describes it as "bacterial SSU rRNA". It matches the Rfam family "Bacterial small subunit ribosomal RNA", at positions 1 to 739 of the family's 1533-position model. The record is from RNAcentral.